This is a long non-coding RNA of Austrofundulus limnaeus, 358 nucleotides long. RefSeq lists it as uncharacterized. The transcript is spliced from 3 exons. The record is from RefSeq and is a predicted model, not a curated record. Lineage: Eukaryota; Metazoa; Chordata; Actinopteri; Cyprinodontiformes; Rivulidae.
UGGAAGAUUGAGACGUUAGCUGAGGUGUUGGGAUCAGCGGGGUCUGAAAGUGAAGCUUUGAGCCCCUGGCUCGGCUCCGUCCACGUGUCGGGGAGAAGGCCCAUCACGCCGGAAACAUCCGGAACUGCAGAGACGACCAAGUCCGAGGAGGGAACAGGUCCAGGGUUCAGGGUCUGGGUUUCUGGGUCCGCCUGAUGCCACYGGCUGCACUGAAAGACUGGAUGAUGACCUCAGCUGCAGAACCUCAGCAGAACCUCAGCAGAACCUCAGCAGGACUUCAGCUGCAGAACCUCAGCAGAACCUCAGCUGCAGAACCUCAGCAGGACUUCAGCUGGAGAACCUCAGCAGGACUUCAGCU